UUGAUGCAAGGUUAAGCAGUAAAUGUGGAGCCGUAGCGAAAGCGAGUCUGAAUAGGGCGUUUAGUAUUUGGUCGUAGACCCGAAACCAGGUGAUCUACCCUUGGUCAGGUUGAAGUUCAGGUAACACUGAAUGGAGGACCGAACCGACUUACGUUGAAAAGUGAGCGGAUGAACUGAGGGUAGCGGAGAAAUUCCAAUCGAACCUGGAGAUAGCUGGUUCUCUCCGAAAUAGCUUUAGGGCUAGCCUCAAGUGAUGAUUAUUGGAGGUAGAGCACUGUUUGGACGAGGGGCCCCUCUCGGGUUACCGAAUUCAGACAAACUCCGAAUGCCAAUUAAUUUAACUUGGGAGUCAGAACAUGGGUGAUAAGGUCCGUGUUCGAAAGGGAAACAGCCCAGACCACCAGCUAAGGUCCCAAAAUAUAUGUUAAGUGGAAAAGGAUGUGGCGUUGCCCAGACAACUAGGAUGUUGGCUUAGAAGCAGCCAUCAUUUAAAGAGUGCGUAAUAGCUCACUAGUCGAGUGACACUGCGCCGAAAAUGUACCGGGGCUAAACAUAUUACCGAAGCUGUGGAUUGUCCUUUGGACAAUGGUAGGAGAGCGUUCUAAGGGCGUUGAAGCAUGAUCGUAAGGACAUGUGGAGCGCUUAGAAGUGAGAAUGCCGGUGUGAGUAGCGAAAGACGGGUGAGAAUCCCGUCCACCGAUUGACUAAGGUUUCCAGAGGAAGGCUCGUCCGCUCUGGGUUAGUCGGGUCCUAAGCUGAGGCCGACAGGCGUAGGCGAUGGAUAACAGGUUGAUAUUCCUGUACCACCUAUAAUCGUUUUAAUCGAUGGGGGGACGCAGUAGGAUAGGCGAAGCGUGCGAUUGGAUUGCACGUCUAAGCAGUAAGGCUGAGUAUUAGGCAAAUCCGGUACUCGUUAAGGCUG
This 922-nucleotide ribosomal RNA is filed under the name Staphylococcus aureus. RNAcentral's name for it is "partial 23S ribosomal RNA". It matches the Rfam family "Bacterial large subunit ribosomal RNA", at positions 635 to 1558 of the family's 2925-position model. Lineage: Bacteria; Bacillati; Bacillota; Bacilli; Caryophanales; Staphylococcaceae. The record is from RNAcentral.